UUAGACUUUGCUUAUUUAGAAGACCAACAUAACUGACAAAUAAUCCUAUUAAAAUAAUAAUACUUGACAACUCAUCAAUUAUUACAGUGUUACUUUAGCAAAAGCAUACAAAUCUCAGGCUUAAAAUAUUCUUAUUUAAAUGAAGGUAUUGAAGGUAAACACACUUCUUGUACUGCUCAGUGUGAUACCGUAUGUUUGAAUCAAUUACUUUAAUGUGCAGCAAUACAUCUUAUUUUAUAAAAUCAUGAUAACGUUUGCAAGUAAAACCUUGAUCUUCAAAGUAAAUAAUGACUGUAGCUGUCAAAUAACUGCACUGGAUUAGAACAAAAUACAAGUAUGCAACAUGUGCACCGUACUUGAGUAAAUGCAUUUUCCACCACCAGUCUCUGGUUAUAAUCUAAUAUAUCUGGGGUGUAUUCAUAAUAAAUAAAACACUCCCACUGUGUGCAUGUGAAGUUUUCAGGCUUGUUUCUGUUCCUGUCUCUGCUCUCACCCUGUCUCUGGUCAGAUCUGCGGCUGGCAGGUGGCUCACUUGUCUCCCGGCGGUGUCGUUGGACAGGUAGACCCCCAGCACCACCGCCAGCACCAGGACACCGAGCAGACACAGCAGCAGGACCCGUGCCCGAGGCAACCGCACCCGGUCACAGCCGGGGAAGGAGCCGCCGCCGUUGCUCUGCUGCAGAGGCUUGUACCGCCGACUGGACCUGGACAUGUCUGAAGAAGCGGCGUCUGUCUGCGGUCUGUCGGUUUAACGGCUACGUGUCCAAACCGUAGGAGGGAGUAAACACAGGAAGAGAGGCGACGCCGGGGGAAGCAGCUCGGCGGUUACAUCUGCAACAGCCUCCCUCAACACAACAAGCCAUCGUUAGCUUCUGAAACUCGCUGUUUUCUGGCCCCAGUCCCCUGUGCGACUCUGACAGCCCGGCGGUUUGAAAACAUGACUGACUUUUCGUGCCGUUUCUGUUAAGUUAAUCGAGGUUUAGUCCGAAUUUAGACACAAACUGCUUCAUCCCGUCUCCGUAGCUUCUGUCGUUUAGCAACUGGCAACUCUUCACUGCUGCGUUAAACUACACAAGCAGCUACUAUUGAGAAAAAACUACAUUAAAUCGGCCUUGUAGCAAAGUUUUCAUAACUCUCCCGAUGCAGAGGUCCAGCAAAAAACGGUAGAAACGUUUCGUGUUCGCAUCACGGGACAUCUCUGUAGUAAUCUAAUGGCGAUACUUCUUUGAGGCUCUAAUGGUGACUGGAGAACAUCUGUGUGGUGCGUUACUGCCCCCUACCGACCGGGAGAGGAGCUACUGCAAAAACAAACACCCAAAUAUCAAUAUCAUCAAAUAAAAUACAAAAAUGACACAUAAAAAAAACAAUUCUAAAUACUCAGCUUGUACUUUACUCAUUUAAUUAUAUUUUAUUAUGCACCUCCAUUGUUUUAUAUCAUUUUU
Molecule: long non-coding RNA, 1442 nt
Organism: Amphiprion ocellaris (clown anemonefish)
Lineage: Eukaryota; Metazoa; Chordata; Actinopteri; Pomacentridae
Source: Ensembl